RNAcentral lists this transfer RNA (73 nucleotides) under Clostridiales bacterium. Its description in RNAcentral is "tRNA-Lys". It matches the Rfam family "tRNA". Rfam says of the family: Transfer RNA (tRNA) molecules are approximately 80 nucleotides in length. Their secondary structure includes four short double-helical elements and three loops (D, anti-codon, and T loops). Further hydrogen bonds mediate the characteristic L-shaped molecular structure. tRNAs have two regions of fundamental functional importance: the anti-codon, which is responsible for specific mRNA codon recognition, and the 3' end, to which the tRNAs corresponding amino acid is attached (by aminoacyl-tRNA synthetases). tRNAs cope with the degeneracy of the genetic code in two manners: having more than one tRNA (with a specific anti-codon) for a particular amino acid; and 'wobble' base-pairing, i.e. permitting non-standard base-pairing at the 3rd anti-codon position. The record is from RNAcentral. Lineage: Bacteria; Bacillati; Bacillota; Clostridia; Eubacteriales.
GCACUUUUAGCUCAGCAGGUAGAGCAACUGACUCUUAAUCAGCAGGUCCAGGGUUCGAGUCCCUGAAAGUGCA